UGUCUUACUAAAAUAGUUAAUAAAACAUCGUCAGCCUUAAAAAUACUUCUUCUAGAAUUUUCAUAUGAUCCUUAAACAAUUUUCCUAAGUCAAUAAUGUCAUAAAAGGGUAAACCAGACAAGUCUUCUAGGACAGUGCUGUUAAAAUCGUUUUCAUCAGCCGGUUAAAAGUGGCAGAAGCCCUACGAAAGUCUAGCUUGGAACAGAUCUUCAAUCCAGCCAGGGUGUCCAAACUGUCAUCAAUACGAGGAAAACAAUAAAUGUUUAUCUAAAGUUUAUAUAAAAUGUUUAAAUAUCAUUAAAACAUUGUGUAAAUUGC
Long non-coding RNA from Anthonomus grandis grandis, 318 nucleotides. RefSeq lists it as uncharacterized. The transcript is spliced from 2 exons. Lineage: Eukaryota; Metazoa; Arthropoda; Insecta; Coleoptera; Curculionidae. The record is from RefSeq and is a predicted model, not a curated record.